RNAcentral lists this ribosomal RNA (306 nucleotides) under uncultured bacterium. Its description in RNAcentral is "partial 16S ribosomal RNA". It matches the Rfam family "Bacterial small subunit ribosomal RNA", at positions 507 to 809 of the family's 1533-position model. The record is from RNAcentral.
GACAGCAGUCGCCACGGUAAUACAGAGGGUGCGAGCGUUAAUCGGAUUUACUGGGCGUAAAGCGUGCGUAGGCGGCUUCUUAAGUCGGAUGUGAAAUCCCUGAGCUUAACUUAGGAAUUGCAUUCGAUACUGGGAAGCUAGAGUAUGGGAGAGGAUGGUAGAAUUCCAGGUGUAGCGGUGAAAUGCGUAGAGAUCUGGAGGAAUACCGAUGGCGAAGGCAGCCAUCUGGCCUAAUACUGACGCUGAGGUACGAAAGCAUGGGGAGCAAACAGGAUUAGAUACCCCGGUAGUCCCUGUCUCUUAUAA